RNAcentral lists this small RNA (105 nucleotides) under Marmota monax (woodchuck). Lineage: Eukaryota; Metazoa; Chordata; Mammalia; Rodentia; Sciuridae. The record is from RNAcentral.
GCUGUGUGGUGGCGCAUGCCUGUAAUCCCAGUGACUUGGGAGGCUGAGGCAGGAGGAUUGCAAAUUGGAGGCCAGCCUUGGCAAGUUAGCAAGACCCUGUCUCAA